Molecule: ribosomal RNA, 253 nt
Filed under: uncultured bacterium
Lineage: Bacteria
Description: partial 16S ribosomal RNA
Rfam family: Bacterial small subunit ribosomal RNA
Source: RNAcentral
UACGAAGGGGGCUAGCGUUGCUCGGAAUCACUGGGCGUAAAGGGUGCGUAGGCGGGUCUUUAAGUCAGGGGUGAAAUCCUGGAGCUCAACUCCAGAACUGCCUUUGAUACUGAGGAUCUUGAGUUCGGGAGAGGUGAGUGGAACUGCGAGUGUAGAGGUGAAAUUCGUAGAUAUUCGCAAGGACACCAGUGGCGAAGGCGGCUCACUGGCCCGAUACUGACGCUGAGGCACGAAAGCGUGGGGAGCAAACAGG